RNAcentral lists this ribosomal RNA (430 nucleotides) under Acidobacteriota bacterium. RNAcentral's name for it is "Acidobacteria bacterium partial 16S ribosomal RNA". It matches the Rfam family "Bacterial small subunit ribosomal RNA", at positions 355 to 776 of the family's 1533-position model. The record is from RNAcentral. Lineage: Bacteria; Pseudomonadati; Acidobacteriota.
UGGGGAAUAUUGGACAAUGGGCGCAAGCCUGAUCCAGCCAUGCCGCGUGUGUGAAGAAGGCCUUUUGGUUGUAAAGCACUUUAAGCGAGGAGGAGGCUACUUGGAUUAAUACUCUAGGAUAGUGGACGUUACUCGCAGAAUAAGCACCGGCUAACUCUGUGCCAGCAGCCGCGGUAAUACAGAGGGUGCGAGCGUUAAUCGGAUUUACUGGGCGUAAAGCGUGCGUAGGCGGCUUCUUAAGUCGGAUGUGAAAUCCCUGAGCUUAACUUAGGAAUUGCAUUCGAUACUGGGAAGCUAGAGUAUGGGAGAGGAUGGUAGAAUUCCAAGUGUAGCGGUGAAAUGCGUAGAGAUCUGGAGGAAUACCGAUGGCGAAGGCAGCCAUCUGGCCUAAUACUGACGCUGAGGUACGAAAGCAUGGGGAGCAAACAGG